CAAUCUGCGAUAGUAUCUGGUCAGCCCGAUUUUAGUGCAAUUGAAAUCUCUCAAUCUCUCGAUCCUUUCCUUAAAAUCAUGGUAGAAAUGCAGCUGAUUCAGCAUAAUGAGCUGGUGUACCUGGAGGAGGAGCUGGAGCAAUAUAUAGCAGCACAACCGGGCAGAGGCCUCUGAGUCUGAGAUUGGGAAAACCCGCUGGAUGAUGAGCCUUUUGUUUUAGAUUGAGGUAGGCUACUUUGAAUUCAAAUGCUGUAUUGGGAAAGUUGCCGAAAACAUGGCCAAACUACUUGAUGAAUAUUGUUAACAUAGCUAU
RNAcentral lists this long non-coding RNA (313 nucleotides) under Strongylocentrotus purpuratus (purple sea urchin). RNAcentral's name for it is "uncharacterized LOC105446313, transcript variant X1". Lineage: Eukaryota; Metazoa; Echinodermata; Echinoidea; Camarodonta; Strongylocentrotidae. The record is from RNAcentral.